CCUACGGGUGGCAGCAGUGAGGAAUAUUGGUCAAUGGACGCAAGUCUGAACCAGCCAUGCCGCGUGAGGGAUGACGGCUCUGUGAGUUGUAAACUGCUUUUGUACGAGUAUAAACGCCGGUACUAGUCUCGGGUUGAGGGUAUCUUACGAAUAAGCAUCGGCUAACUCCGUGCCAGCAGCCGCGGUAAUACGGAGGAUGCGAGCGUUAUCCGGAUUUAUUGGGUUUAAAGGGUGCGUAGGCGGUCUGAUAAGUUAGAGGUGAAAUGUCGGGGCUCAACCCCGAAACUGCCGUUAAUACUGUUGGACUAGAGAAUAGUUGCAGUACGCGGAAUGUAUGGUGUAGCGGUGAAAUGCUUAGAGAUCAUACAGAACACCGAUUGCGAAGGCAGCUUACCAAACUAUAUCUGACGUUGAGGCACGAAAGCGUGGGUAGCAAACAGGAUUAGAUACCCCAGUAGUC
This 460-nucleotide ribosomal RNA is filed under the name uncultured bacterium. RNAcentral's name for it is "partial 16S ribosomal RNA". It matches the Rfam family "Bacterial small subunit ribosomal RNA", at positions 338 to 795 of the family's 1533-position model. The record is from RNAcentral.